GCUUUCAAAUAUCACUGUUGCUAAGGGAAAAAUCACUACUGUUUCCUCCUCAGCUUUCUCUUUGCUGCUCUCCCCCUUGUCAGUGAGGAUUAGGCUUGACUGCAGCUGAUUUUGCUGUCUCACUCCCUGCAAUGGGGUGCCAAGCAUUCCACAGUGACACAGCAGCUUUUCCCCUGUCCCUCCAUUUCCCUUGGCUGCUCCAACUCCCCCAAAGCCACGGGGCUGCAGAUUUUCAGCGAUGCAGGUUAGAGGUUUGGCCCACCCCAAGUCCCCGAAUAGGCAAUGAAGAGAGAGGGACUCCUGGCUGGAAUCUGCAAAAGUGAAUACAAAUAACUGCAGCCUUCAGCGCCUUUGAAGGAGAUGGCCUUGCUGCUCUUCUAUUGCUCUUUUACGGACUGCCUUGACAGAUGAAAGUUAUCUCUACCAAUGAAACAAUCUUGG
Molecule: long non-coding RNA, 441 nt
Filed under: Manacus vitellinus (golden-collared manakin)
Lineage: Eukaryota; Metazoa; Chordata; Aves; Passeriformes; Pipridae
Description: lncRNA (ENSMVIG00005017980.1)
Source: RNAcentral